AAGCCCCUAGUGACUUUGGUGCGAGCACUGACUAAACCCGAAGGCGGAAAGAAAUUGAAAACGAGUCCAGUACUCGUCCAGGGAAGAUGGCGACGGAUCCGGCCUCUUUGAGAGGUACAACCGCAGAUCGGCCCGCAUUCCCGGGGUGCCUCAUUCGCCGGCCGUCGACUGAGCUGGGUAUAGGGGCGAAAGACUAAUCGAACUAUCUAGUAGCUGGUUCCCUCCGAAGUUUCCCUCAGGAUAGCUGGCGCUCGGAGGUGAGAUGAGAUGAACGCGCUGAGUCUCUUCCGGUAAAGCGAAUGAUUAGAGGCCUUGGGGCCGAAACGACCUCAACCUAUUCUCAAACUUUAAAUGGGUGAGAACCCCGGCUUGCU
Molecule: ribosomal RNA, 374 nt
Filed under: Psyllopsis fraxinicola
Lineage: Eukaryota; Metazoa; Arthropoda; Insecta; Hemiptera; Liviidae
Description: partial large subunit ribosomal RNA
Rfam family: Eukaryotic large subunit ribosomal RNA
Source: RNAcentral